RNAcentral lists this unclassified non-coding RNA (148 nucleotides) under soil metagenome. Its description in RNAcentral is "partial internal transcribed spacer 1". The record is from RNAcentral.
UAAUAAGUGUUUUUAUGGCACUUUUUAAAUCCAUAUCCACCUUGUGUGCAAUGUCAGUCGAUCUUCUUCAUGGAGAUCGACCAAACAUCAACCUUUAUCUUUUAACUCUUUGUCUGAAAAAUAUUAUGAAUAAACAAUUCAAAUAUAC